This is a long non-coding RNA of Acanthochromis polyacanthus (spiny chromis), 683 nucleotides long. RefSeq lists it as uncharacterized. The transcript is spliced from 3 exons. The record is from RefSeq and is a predicted model, not a curated record. NCBI's taxonomy places the organism in Eukaryota, Metazoa, Chordata, Actinopteri, Pomacentridae.
GGCAAGAGUCUAAUUUACCAGUUAGCUCCGUUAGUUGCGAAGGAAAUCGGAUCUAUCAAGACCCCUGUUGUUGUGGUAGUGUCGCCAUUGAUUGCCUUGAUAGAGGAUCAGAUAAAGGAAGCAGCCGACCUCGGGAUUUCUGCGACUCAGUUGGGCCUCGGGGAAGAAAAAGACAUAAAGAGUUGCCGGUACCAGGUGGUGUUUGGCAGCCCCGAGGCAUGGCUAAGCGCCAAGUGGGAGAACAUGCUAUCCACCGAAGCAUACAAGACCAACCUUAUAGGCAUCGUCGUGGAUGAAGUCCAUCUUACAUACAAGUGGGGGAAUGCGGGGAGAGGACAAAAGGCCUUCAGAGAAAGCUUUGCAAGGUUGGGGGAACUUCGAGCAAUCGUCAAACCAGGAACACCUGUAUUGGCUUUGACUGCAUCAGCUGAUUUGCACUCAAGAGACAUUGUGAGAAGACGGCUACACUUCCAGAAUGCAGUCAACAUUAUUGUUAGCCCCAACAGACCCAACAUUAGACUUGCUGUAAGGCGGCUUGUGACAGACUCUCUAGACUGCUUCGACUGGCUGGUGAAGAACUUGAAAGAGAGAAGACUGGAUAUGUUACCAGUCAUUAUAUACUGCCGUACAAUAAACACUGUGACAAGAGUAUUCCUCCACCUGAAGUCUGAACUUGGGACAGU